This 406-nucleotide ribosomal RNA is filed under the name uncultured bacterium. RNAcentral describes it as "partial 16S ribosomal RNA". It matches the Rfam family "Bacterial small subunit ribosomal RNA", at positions 30 to 526 of the family's 1533-position model. The record is from RNAcentral.
AUUGAACGCUGGCGGCAGGCCUAACACAUGCAAGUCGAACGAGUGGCGGAAGUGUGAGCAAUGUCUCGGAAACUGCCUGAUGGAGGGGGAUCACUACUGGAAACUGUAGCUACUACCGCAUUCCAUCGGCUGUGCCGAGAUGGGAUUAGCUAGUGGGUGGGGGAAAGGCUCACCUAGGCCACGAUCUCUAGCUGGUCUGAGAGGAUGACCAGCCACACUGGAACUGAGACACGGUCCAGACUCCGACGGGAGGCAGCAGUGGGGAAUAUUGCACAAUGGGCGCAAGCCUGAUGCAGCCAUGCCGCGUGUAUGAAGAAGGCCUUCGGGUUGUAAAGUACUUUCAGCGGGGAGGCGUUACCCGCAGAAGAAGCACCGGCUAACUCCGUGCCAGCCGCCGCGGUAAUAC